ACUGACAUGAGACAGAUUAGAAGGAGAAGAAACUCAAAGUUUAAUUACAUAGCUACACAGAAGCUAUACACACGGAUUCCAAAGACGGAGAAUGAAGUCUGUAUGUCAUCCUGAACCAGGGAGAAGAGGGCAGGGAAGCGAUUCCCAGGAAUAUGAGAGAGUAAAUGUUCGAAAAGAGUGUUUUCCCAAUCAUUCCAUGCUGGUGUACCCAGGAGCACCCAAAUGGAGGAGGAUUCAUACAAAAAUGGAAACACUGCUGCUAAGGCAUGGCUACUGCUGAUGUAAAAAGAACUAAACCAUCUCCCCACCAGCCUCCCAUCCCAUUUCGUCUUUGCCUGGUGGGACCAACACUGGGGAGAAUCACCGGAGACGCUUCCCUUGAAGACUGUGCACUCCUCUGACCCGGCCCGUGGGGGCCGGCUCUCCCUAUGGGAGGCGGAUCUGCCCCCUCAGCUGGAGCUGGGGCACCAUGCCCACCCUCUGAGUCCCAGGCCCCAGGAGUCUCAGUGUGGAACGGAGGUCACGUGGAUCUACUGGAGAUCACAUGCCAGGUGGAGAGACAGCAUCAUUCUGUGGUUUAGGGGCACCAGGAAGUGAAUCAUCCCCACAGAAUGGGUAAUGAAUGACUCCAUUUUAUAGAUGGAAGAAAAACAUAUCAGCAAAUCAGCCACCUUCCCUCCCACAUCCAGGGGCUUCUCCUAGACUAAAGUUAGGUGAUUGGUGGGCUGGGUUCCAUGGAGCUGUAGACAAGCAAUAAUUACCCAUUAUCAGCAUCCAAAAAGAGCUGCUUCCCCUCAUUCUGGUACCCCACUGGGGGCUGCUCCGGCACCCAGGUGUCCUCUCCUGGGUCUCCCAAGGGCUGGGCACAGGCGGUGUUUGACUCCUGCCUCCCAGGGACAGCACAUGGAGGGAACAGGGAGUUGUCCUGAGGCUUGGGGAGACAUAGUUUAAGAAGCACAUUUAUUUAGCAUUGUGAAUAUGAACUUAGAUUUGGAAGAUGCUACUAAAAACAUUUUUAAAAAGCAUUAAUUGCAGAAAAUUAAGCUCAUCAGAGUCUUUCUGUGCUCCAGUCCCGUGUCGCUCUGUGCAUUCUCCCAGGGACAGCCACAGCCAGAAUGAGCUGUUUAUAAGAAUGCGUUCUUCUAUUCCCCUGAAAAAGGAUUGGCAGGGAAAGCAGUUCUCCUCUUUGCUCCCUGGUAUUGUAUCUGUAUCUCAGAAUUCCUGCCAAAGCCCACCCUCUAAGGCAUUGCAUUAUUUUAGAAUCAACUGAAUUUCAACCAGAAAGUGAGUGUGAACAUUACAAAAUGGAAGCCCCUCUUCACUCCUCAGAGCCAGCGUGGAGGUGAUAUGGGCCAGGGCAGACUUCGGGGAGGAAAAGGGCGUGUUUCUGAUGGCUUGCUGGCUGUGUGACUUCUAGUAACAAUGCCACCCAAGAGGGAUCAGUUCUCUCACUGCUAAAACAUAGGACAUGUUGAUCUUAGAUGUCCCUUCCAACUUAGAAUAUUGUCAAUUCCAAGGGUGGAUAUUAAACAAUGUAACUGCAGGAGAGUUAUACCUAAUAGUGUGUGUGUGUGUGUGUGUGUGUGUGCGUGCACAGGGAGGAUUUAAAGUCAGCUGAUUUUACAAUCUUGGAAUGGGGAAGGCUUUUUAAAAUACAACCCCAAUCCCAGAAACAUGAAAGAAAAGAUUCAUAAAUUCAUCUACA
This is a non-coding RNA of Manis javanica (Malayan pangolin), 1705 nucleotides long. The record is from RefSeq and is a predicted model, not a curated record. NCBI's taxonomy places the organism in Eukaryota, Metazoa, Chordata, Mammalia, Pholidota, Manidae.